RNAcentral lists this ribosomal RNA (560 nucleotides) under Paragnetina media (embossed stonefly). Its description in RNAcentral is "partial 16S ribosomal RNA". It matches the Rfam family "Bacterial large subunit ribosomal RNA", at positions 1796 to 2622 of the family's 2925-position model. The record is from RNAcentral. Lineage: Eukaryota; Metazoa; Arthropoda; Insecta; Plecoptera; Perlidae.
UCGCCUGUUUUAUCAAAAACAUGUCCUUUUGAUAAUAAUUUAAGGUCUGACCUGCCCACUGACGAAAGUUGAAGGGCCGCGGUAUUUUGACCGUGCAAAGGUAGCAUAAUCAUUAGUCUCUUAAUUGGAGGCUGGAAUGAAUGGUUGGACGAGGCAUAGACUGUCUCACUGUGAAUGAAAUUAGAAUUUAACUUUUGAGUGAAAAGGCUUAAAUGAAUUUAGAGGACGAGAAGACCCUAUAGAUCUUUAUAUUAAUGAUGUUUACAAUAAUUUGGAUGUUUGUGAUUUGUAAUUAUGAUUAAUAUUACGUUGGGGUGAUGAGAAGAUAGAAAAAACUCUUUUUAGAUGAGGACACUGGUUUGUGAAUUUUUGAUCCAUUAUUAGUGAUUAUAAGACUAAGUUACCUUAGGGAUAACAGCGUAAUCUUUUUUGAGAGUUCUUAUCGACAAAAAGGGUUGCGACCUCGAUGUUGGAUUAAGGUAAAAGUUGGGUGCAGAAGCUUAAAUUUUUAGGUCUGUUCGACCUUUAAAUCCUUACAUGAUCUGAUUCCAAACCGGAGA